GAUGAAGAACGCAGCGAAAUGCGAUACUUGGUGUGAAUUGCAGAAUCCCGUGAACCAUCGAGUCUUUGAACGCAAGUUGCGCCCGAAGCCAUUAGGCCGAGGGCACGCCUGCCUGGGCGUCACACGUCGUUGCCCCCCAUCUACUCCUUCGGUAUUGCGGGGGGCGGAUGAUGGCCUCCCGUGCGCCUCGUCGCGCGGUUGGCAUAAAUGCCAAGUCCUCGGCGACGCACGCCACGACAAUCGGUGGUUGCGAAACCUCGGUUGCCCGUCGUGUGCGGUCGUCGCGCAUCGAGGGCUCGAAAAAAUUGUCGGGCUCCGGCUCGGCUUUCAACGCGACCCCAGGUCAGGCGGGGUUACCCGCUGAAUUUAAGCAUAUCAAUAAGCGGAGGA
This 390-nucleotide unclassified non-coding RNA is filed under the name soil metagenome. RNAcentral describes it as "partial contains 5.8S ribosomal RNA, internal transcribed spacer 2, and large subunit ribosomal RNA". The stretch from base 1 to 122 matches the Rfam family "5.8S ribosomal RNA", at positions 35 to 154 of the family's 154-position model. The record is from RNAcentral.